UAUAAGAGACAGCAGUCGCCGCGGUAAUACAGAGGGUGCGAGCGUUAAUCGGAUUUACUGGGCGUAAAGCGUGCGUAGGCGGCUUUUUAAGUCGGAUGUGAAAUCCCUGAGCUUAACUUAGGAAUUGCAUUCGAUACUGGGAAGCUAGAGUAUGGGAGAGGAUGGUAGAAUUCCAGGUGUAGCGGUGAAAUGCGUAGAGAUCUGGAGGAAUACCGAUGGCGAAGGCAGCCAUCUGGCCUAAUACUGACGCUGAGGUACGAAAGCAUGGGGAGCAAACAGGAUUAGAUACCCCGUGUAGUCCCUGUCUCUUAUU
This 313-nucleotide ribosomal RNA is filed under the name uncultured bacterium. Its description in RNAcentral is "partial 16S ribosomal RNA". It matches the Rfam family "Bacterial small subunit ribosomal RNA", at positions 500 to 808 of the family's 1533-position model. The record is from RNAcentral.